UUAUAGCUACUUAACUUCUAAUUAUUUUAUUUAUGUUAUUUCACUCAAAUAACUUUGAAAUUUACUAAAUCUAAUAGUAAUUCAGUGAAUAAUUAAAUUUAUUAAUUUUUACUAAAUAUAAUUGUAACAAUAAAUGACUAUUAGUUGACAGAGCUAUUAACUUUAAUAUAACAUUUAAUUUAAUUAAAUAAAAAAUAUCUAAAAUAAUUAAAAAUAUGAAGGUACUAAAUAAAAAAAAAAUAAAUA
Molecule: long non-coding RNA, 246 nt
Filed under: Ananas comosus (pineapple)
Lineage: Eukaryota; Viridiplantae; Streptophyta; Magnoliopsida; Poales; Bromeliaceae
Description: long non-coding RNA (ACOM_LNC016273)
Source: RNAcentral